AGAGUUUGAUCAUGGCUCAGAUUGAACGCUGGCGGAAUGCUUUACACAUGCAAGUCGAACGAUGAACCUUAGCUUGCUAAGGGGAUUAGUGGCGAACGGGUGAGUAAUAUAUCGGAACGUGCCUUGUAAUGGGGGAUAACUAGUCGAAAGAUUAGCUAAUACCGCAUACGCCCUGAGGGGGAAAGUAGGGGAUCUUCGGACCUUACGUUAUAAGAGCGGCCGAUAUCUGAUUAGCUAGUUGGUGGGGUAAUGGCCUACCAAGGCGACGAUCAGUAGCUGGUCUGAGAGGACGACCAGCCACACUGGAACUGAGACACGGUCCAGACUCCUACGGGAGGCAGCAGUGGGGAAUUUUGGACAAUGGGCGCAAGCCUGAUCCAGCCAUUCCGCGUGAGUGAAGAAGGCCUUCGGGUUGUAAAGCUCUUUCGCAAGGGAAGAAAACUUACCAUCGAAUAAAUGGUGAGGCUGACGGUACCUUGAUAAGAAGCACCGGCUAACUACGUGCCAGCAGCCGCGGUAAUACGUAGGGUGCGAGCGUUAAUCGGAAUUACUGGGCGUAAAGCGUGCGCAGGCGGUUUGGCAAGUCAGAUGUGAAAUCCCCGAGCUCAACUUGGGAACUGCGUUUGAAACUGCCAGACUAGAAUAUGUCAGAGGGGGGUAGAAUUCCACGUGUAGCAGUGAAAUGCGUAGAGAUGUGGAGGAAUACCAAUGGCGAAGGCAGCCCCCUGGGAUAAUAUUGACGCUCAUGCACGAAAGCGUGGGGAGCAAACAGGAUUAGAUACCCUGGUAGUCCACGCCCUAAACGAUGUCUACUAGUUGUUGGUGGAGUAAAAUCCAUGAGUAACGCAGCUAACGCGUGAAGUAGACCGCCUGGGGAGUACGGUCGCAAGAUUAAAACUCAAAGGAAUUGACGGGGCCCGCACAAGCGGUGGAUUAUGUGGAUUAAUUCGAUGCAACGCGAAAACCUUACCUGGCCUUGACAUGCCACUAACGAAGCAGAGAUGCAUAAGUGGCCCGUAAGGGAAAGUGGACACAGGUGCUGCAUGGCUUGUCGUCCACCUCUUGUCUUGG
This 1071-nucleotide ribosomal RNA is filed under the name uncultured bacterium. RNAcentral describes it as "bacterial SSU rRNA". It matches the Rfam family "Bacterial small subunit ribosomal RNA", at positions 8 to 1070 of the family's 1533-position model. The record is from RNAcentral.